This 739-nucleotide long non-coding RNA is filed under the name Arachis ipaensis. RNAcentral describes it as "long non-coding RNA (AIPA_LNC000675)". Lineage: Eukaryota; Viridiplantae; Streptophyta; Magnoliopsida; Fabales; Fabaceae. The record is from RNAcentral.
CCUUCUGGUAAUCCUCAUUGGUUUUGUACUAGUUCUCUUCCACAGCAACAACAUCAAAUUUACCUAUGCAACAAGCAGAUUAGUAUUAUUAGAUGAAAACAAUAAUAAGCCAGAAAAAUUUUCUUCACUUCCUCAACAACCCAUUUUCCCAAUUGCACCACUUCAACAAAACACACCUUCAUUUAUGCUCCCAACAUUGCCAUCUUUGCCACAACAACCAAUCGGUAACAAUAACAUCAACAAUGGUUUCAUGAACACACCAACUUUUUCACUUCCAACAUUGCCACCUCUACCCAAAUUGCCUCCUUUACCUUCUCUUCCAAUUAUGCCCUUUCCUACUUUACCAUCUAAUAAUGCCAUUCCUUCAUUUCCUUCUUCUGUUGCACCUCCAAGACCUUCCCCUCUUGGCUUACAUCAUCAUGGAGGAGAAGAUGAUACAAAUUAAAUUUCACCCGUGAACACUCAACAAUUAACAAAAUAAACUUUUUAGAGUUUACUUCAUAUAUUGAUACGUUUAUAUAUAAACUAAUAUUUGUUUAGAUACGUCAAACGUACUAAAAUGCUAAAGAAAUAGAUUAAACACAAACAACUUGAAGGGAGUAUUUUAUGUUGCGUUCGAUCUAAUUAGAACUUUCUCGCCAUAUUUUUUGUGACAGUUAGUAUAUUAAGGACGGAGAUAUUGUUUGCAUUAUUCAUGUUGUAACUGUAUUUCCUAUGUAUUCUGUGAUUAAUAAAAACC